Molecule: ribosomal RNA, 440 nt
Filed under: uncultured bacterium
Lineage: Bacteria
Description: partial 16S ribosomal RNA
Rfam family: Bacterial small subunit ribosomal RNA
Source: RNAcentral
CCUACGGGUGGCAGCAGUAGGGAAUAUUGCUCAAUGGGGGAAACCCUGAAGCAGCGACGCCGCGUGGGUGAUGAAGUUUUUCGGAUUGUAAACUCCUUUUGGUAGGGAAGAUAAUGACGGUAUCUAACGAAUAAGCACCGGCUAACUCCGUGCCAGCAGCCGCGGUAAUACGGAGGGUGCAAGCGUUACUCGGAAUCACUGGGCGUAAAGGGCGCGUAGGCGGGAUAGCAAGUCAGAUGGGAAAUCCUAGGGCUUAACCAUAGAACUGCAUUUGAAACUGUUAUUCUAGAGUAUGGGAGAGGUAGGUGGAAUUCUUGGUGUAGGGGUAAAAUCCAUAGAGAUCAAGAGGAAUACUCAUGGCGAAGGCGACCUGCUAGAACAUAACUGACGCUGAUGCGCGAAAGCGUGGGGAGCAAACAGGAUUAGAUACCCCUGUAGUC